CGAGUGAGUAACGCGUGAGGAACCUGCCUCAAAGAGGGGGACAACAGUUGGAAACGACUGCUAAUACCGCAUAAGCCCACGGCUCGGCAUCGAGCAGAGGGAAAAGGAGCAAUCCGCUUUGAGAUGGCCUCGCGUCCGAUUAGCUAGUUGGUGAGGUAACGGCCCACCAAGGCGACGAUCGGUAGCCGGACUGAGAGGUUGAACGGCCACAUUGGGACUGAGACACGGCCCAG
RNAcentral lists this ribosomal RNA (233 nucleotides) under uncultured bacterium. Its description in RNAcentral is "partial 16S ribosomal RNA". It matches the Rfam family "Bacterial small subunit ribosomal RNA", at positions 103 to 334 of the family's 1533-position model. The record is from RNAcentral.